This 72-nucleotide transfer RNA is filed under the name Camelus bactrianus (Bactrian camel). It matches the Rfam family "tRNA". Rfam says of the family: Transfer RNA (tRNA) molecules are approximately 80 nucleotides in length. Their secondary structure includes four short double-helical elements and three loops (D, anti-codon, and T loops). RNAcentral also lists the same sequence under 2 other names. Lineage: Eukaryota; Metazoa; Chordata; Mammalia; Artiodactyla; Camelidae. The record is from Rfam by way of RNAcentral.
GAGGGUAUAGCUCAGUGGUAGAGUGUGUGCUUUGUAUGCACAAGUUCCUGGGUUCAAUCCCCAAUACCUUCA